Molecule: long non-coding RNA, 34657 nt
Filed under: Marmota monax (woodchuck)
Lineage: Eukaryota; Metazoa; Chordata; Mammalia; Rodentia; Sciuridae
Rfam family: tRNA (bases 26058-26129)
Source: RNAcentral
CUCCCUCACCGGCCUGGGCGCUCUUGGAGCUUUUGGAGGAAGGCAAGACUUGGUUUCACAGAGGUGAAAGCAGGGUUCAGGUAAAGGGCAUCCUUCAUUUGUUUUCUGAUCUGGUAAAAGUGCACCUUCGGGGAUGGGGGAAAAGGAAGAGAAAGAAGAAAAUGACACUAUUGAUUAUAUUGGAAUGGGAUUAAGAGUGAUUUUUAAAUUUAUAAACUAUAUUGGUGUUACCCUGAAAAUUCUAAAAUAAGUACAUCUUUAGAACAUGCUAAGAAGCUAAUCACGAAAGACCACAUACAGUAUGAGUCCAUGUAAAUGAAAGGUCUUGAGUAAGCAAAUCUGUACAGACAGACAUUAGUGGUUACUAUAAAGCUGGGAGGAGGGAAGAACGGAGCAUGACUGCUGUCAGAUGGGGAGUUUCUUUGUGAGUGAUGAAAGUGUUCGAUCAUUGUGAUAAUGGUUGCACAAUUCUGUAAUUAUACUAAAAUUAUAUAAGAGUCGUGCAAUUAAAUUGGUGAAUUUUAUGGUAUAUGAAUACUAACGAAGUCGUUUACAAAAUAAUGAUGGGUAGAAGAAUGACAAUAAUGAUUUCUGUUCCACUACCACAUCUAAUGCAGUCGAAAGUAUUGCUGAAUGUUGAUUGUGUACCAGAAUUACUUGGCUUGUGAACUGUAAUAAAUAAUGGGAGAGACAAAUGAGUAAAGUAUGGUGGAAAGUGAUCUGGACUGAUAAUCAGAACACUUGAACCCUGGUCUUUUCUCUAAAUUAAUUUUGUUUUCUUAUCAUGCUACUCAAGAUUUUCCUUACAUGGUGUCUAAACUGUAACAUUAAGGGGUUCAGUGAUUAGAAUCCCAACUACACUUCAGUAGGAAGCUGCAGAGGUUACUUCAAGAAACAAAUGUCCCUGAGACUGUUUCUUUAAUGCAGGCAGAUGUGUCAAUUGAAAGCACAACGAUCGGCUUAACAAAAAUCAGGUUGUACUGUGUAUUAGAAGGUAGCCACACUCAUUUUGAACCUUAUACAAAUUUAGAAGGUUGGAAGGAUAGGUAUAAUACUAAUUUUAGAUAAGAAGUGGAAACUCAGGGAGGUUAGGGGAUUUGCCUAUGAUGAUACAUCUGAGUUUCAACUUCACAUCUUUGGAAAGUGACACCAAUGCUCUAUAGUGCUUCCCAUACUGCUCCAAGUUUUACAACGUCAUUAAAGGCCCUGAAUUAAUGCAAAGUCUGUCCUAAACUUCUCCAAAUAGGCUUAAUUUUAAUUUUGUAAAUUGCUGCUACAUGUACACACAAAAAUAGAAAAAUUAUUGUUCUCACAUUAAUCAGAUGUUAGAUGAAGUAGGUAGUCUCAUAAACUACUUUGUGAUGUAGUUCUCAUUCUGUAGACUGCAUCAAAAUCACUUGGGAUACUUAUUAAAAUAUAGACAUUAGAGCCCAACAUCUAGACUACCAAAUCAAAAUUUUUGGGACUUCAAUGCAAGCACAUUGGUUUUCUAGAAUACCCAAAUUUGAGAACCAUUGAUGAGAUCUAUUCUGGUUCUGAUUCCAAGAUCUUGACAACAGUACUGUAUUAGCAUGUUGCCACAUUCAUAGUAAACCUUACACAGAUUUAUAAUGUUGGUAAACUAUGUAUAAUACUAAUUUAGAUGAGAUAUUUCUCACUUUUUAAUUUUAUUGCUCCUUAAAAAAAGCUUACCUUAAAUCCUUUGAAUUUGCUGUUUUAGAAAAUAUUAAUGAAUUUUUGUGAGAAAAAAGGAUUCUCUUAACACUACAUCCAUCAACAUAUUAUGGAUUUAUUAAAAAUCACAAUGAGAUGUCACCAUAGGUGCACCACAAUAUUUUUAAUGAAAAUAUAUGAUAAUACCAAUAUAGAUGUGGGACAAUAGGGAACUCAAGUUAUAUUUUUGUUAGGAGUUUAGAUGUUAGUACAAGAACUUUGGGAAAAUGUUUGAAAAUUGUUGUGUGCAAACCUUCAUUGAGGGUAUACUCAAGCAUGCUGCUGGAUGCCAGGGGUAGAGAUUGCACACAUGAGAAAGCUCAUGAGAGAUAGUGUCCCAUAGUGUAGGGAUCACUGUGGUAAUAAGUCUACCAAGGAACCCAUGGAAUAGUGGAGGCAGCUAAUGUACUCUGGAUGUGGAGGAGGUCAGGUAAAGCUUUCCAGAAGAGGUGAUCAGAGGUGAUUUUUGAAUAGAAUGAAUCUUCAUUUGUCAAGAAAGAAGGUUGGUUUAAGUAGAGAAAACAACAUAUUGAAAUGAAAAGGACUUAGAGCAUAGAGUGGUCAGGGAUCUGUCAUGUUUCAGUAUUUCUGGAGCAUUGUGUAUGGGACUUGAGAGAUCCUGGGUAUGACACAGGAGGCAGCAAUGGGGAAGAUAUGAAAUUAAAUGGAGACCAGAUCAUCAUGAAAAGUAUUCUACUCCAUACAAAGAAAUUUGGAGUUUUUCUAAAGGUAACAAGGAGCCAUUUAAGGAUUUUAACCAGGGACUAUGAAAUGAAAAAAAAAAAAAACUUUUAGAAAGAUUACUUUGAUAGGAAUAUAAAAACUAAAGUGUGAAGACUGGUGACAUUUAGAAGGCCAAUAACCUAGUUCAGUUACUAUUGAAAGUCUAAACUGUAGCAGUAAUGGAGGAAAAGAAGGGGAGAACUGGAGAUUUUUUAAGUGUUAUCAAUAGUAUGGCAUGGGGAACCCAAGAAAUCUCCCAAGUUUUGGCCUGGGUAUCUGGUUGGAGGUGUUUCUAUUCACCUCUUUACAUACCUCUAAAAGAAUAAAAAAGGAGUGUUAAUGGAGAUCAAAAGACUACGAACCCUUCUGGAGGAAAAAGAGGUUUCCCCAAGAAGGUGAAUCCCAGGACCCAUAUAUUUUGUUCUUUUGUUGCUCCCACAUGCUACAGUGGUACUUAUAAUUUCAACAGUAGGAGCUAAACUGAAUCCACUUUAGGAAAACUAUUUAUGAUCCUUUACUUUAGAACACAAAUUUUGUAUUGUAUUUUCCUAAGGAAUAAUAGCAUUGAACACAUUUUGAUGUGCUUUGUUUUCCAUUUGUAUACCUUUUUGGUUUAAAAUCUUGUUUCCUUUUUAGAUUGAACAUUUCUAUUUACUUUUCUGAAUUGUCAUUCCCCCUUUCCACCCCCUUUCUUAGACUGUAAUAAUACCCAAGAUUUCAAGACUGGACUUGCAGAUUUGGUUAGAGUUGAAAAACUUUAUUAAAUUUUGUUAUUAAUACUGGCUUUGUUUGCACUGGUGGAGAGAUCAUCUCAAGAAUGUUUCCACAAGGUGGCUCAAUAAUAGACAAUCAAGGUGUUAAUUUAUUAACAGUUCAUCAAGCAGGGAAAGUUCAAGGUAAGUUGCAAAUUUUUUCCAAGAGCUGAGAGAUUUGGAGUCAAAUGAGAAGGAUUGAAUUAAUUUGAACAUACCUGACAUUUUUACAAGGAUAAUCCAGAACAACUAUCAAAAAAAAAAAAAAAAAAAACAGAAAACAAAACAAAACAAAAUGACACAAAACACAAAAGCUUCAGCUGUCAUAAUAUGAUAAAAUUUGAAUAUCAAAAAGAAUAACACCUGUAAUAGAUUAAAACAUUAAAUAUAUAAGCAAAAGUGAUGAUUUUCUAAUAUUAAAAAAGCCGCUAAUUCAUUGAUCACCUUUGGAGGUUGCUAAGACAUCAACUUUGAAAAUGGCCAAAAUUUUAUAAGGGAAUGUUCUUUUUUAUAGAAUUCCAACUAAAAAAUGCAUAAAGAAAGCUAAAAUCAGAAAACUGCUGUGCUAUAACCCUGAAUGAAAUAAUGAAGCUAGGUAACUGUAAACAAUGGACGUUAAAACCAGUAAGUGAAACAUUGAUUGGGAAUGUUUAGAGGGAUUACUCUAAAAUUACUGAUUGAUUUUCAUAUUAGUAAAAAUGGGAUUAAACCAGAAGUUUCAUGUUCUCUUUUAGCUCUACACCCAUACUUUCUAUGAUCUGUUCUCUGAUGCUAAGAUUAGCCUCUGGAAACAAAAUUCUCUUUUCACAACUAGGUCUGUGUUAAGUUCCACCAAUAGGAAGCAAUAAAGAUUGGAAAUGAAAAAAGGGAAAGAAAAGGGAUUGAUCCUUGUUCUUUCUGUUCUUCUCUAAGUUGUCUCAACAGUGGCCCUUCUUUCUGGGGACAGCAGCUUCCUGCCUCAUGCAGCACUGUGAAAACCCCAACUACAGCCCCUGUCUCUAGAGGUACCUGCAGUGGUCUUGGUAUACCUUUUCCUCAGAGAUUUCACCCACAACCCUGGGAAGCCCCUCCUCUGAGCUCAAAAGGGACAGUUUCAUUUUAUUCCCUCAGCUUUAGGGGUGAUAGCAGAUCCUGCAGUUACCAUCUUUUGCUUACAUUUGCAUUAGUGUUAUUUACUCUUUUUUGCUUUCUCACGCUCAUAUAAAUCGAGUCUCCCCUUGAAAUAAGUCAUGUGGUUUCUGUUUUCCCACUGGACCAUGACUCAUGUAUCAAGAAUUAAGUGAUGGGGCUGGGGAUGUGGCUCAAGCGGUAGCGCGCUCUCCUGGCAUGCGUGCGGCCCGGGUUCGAUCCUCAGCACCACAUACAAACAAAGAUGUUGUGUCCACCGAAAACUAAAAAAUAAAUAUUAAAAUUCUCUCUCUCUCUCUCUCUCUAAAAAAAAAAAAAAAAAAAAAGAAUUAAGUGAUGAAAUAGGACUAGCACAACCUAUGAAGUAUUUUUAUUUUAUUGAGGUACAAUUUAUAUGUAAUAAAAUUCACCAAUUGCAAGUAUAUAAUUAGAUGAUUCAUGAGUAUAAGCAUAUAUAGGUCAUUUUCAAUUCUAAAAAAAGUUCCCUUGGGUUCUUCAGUAGAUAGUCUUCCUUCCCUCCUCUGGCUCCAGGAAACCACUAAUUUCUAUUGGUACAGCUUUAUCUUUUCUAGAAUUUCAUGUAAAUAGAAGCAUUCAAUAUGUGGCUUUUUGUAUCUGGCUUUUUUUUACUUAGCACAAGCUCAGACAUUCAUCCAUGUUGGUGUAUGAUUGUCCCUUCAUAUUUGUAUGUCAUGUGAAUAUACCACAAUUUAUUUAUGUACUCAGCAAUUAAUAGACAUUUGGGUUGUCCCCAGUUUUAAGCUGUUAUAAAUAAAUCUCCUAUGAACAUAUGAGCAGAACUUUUUGUGUGAAAGUAUAUUUUCAUUUCUCUUGAUAAAAACCUAGGAGUAGAAUGGCUUGGUCAUAUGUUAGGUAGGUUUGUAAGAAGCUGCCAAAUGCUUCCCAAAGUGGUUGUACUAUUUUUCAUUUUUCACUCCUACACAGCAAUGUAGAGGAGUGCCAAUUGCUCUACAUCCUUGACAAUACUUGAUAUCCUUGAUUUUAAUUGGUCUAGGGAGUAAAUUGUGGUAUCUGAUUAUGUUUUUCAUUUGUAUUUUCUUAAGGAAUAAUAGCAUUGAACACAUUUUGAUGUGCUUUGUUUGCCAUUUGUAUACCUUUAGGGAUGUACAUAUUUAAAUAUUUUUUCCCACAAAAAUUUAGCUUUUUUGUCCUUUUACUAUUGAAUUUUAAGAGUGCCAAAUAUAUUCUGGAUACAAGUCCUUUAGUGGAUGUAUAUUUUCAAAUAGUUUUUUCCUUUUCUAGAUCAAUCUUUUGAAGAUUAAAAAGAUUUUAAUUAUAACAUUCAGUUUGUCAGUUUUUUAUUACAGGGUUUGUGCUUUUUAUGUCCUAUUUAAAUAUCCUUACCCAACUCAAGGUCACAAAGAUUUUGUCCAAUAUUUUCUUUAAGUUUUAUGGUUUGGGUUUUGCAUUUAGAUCUAUAAUCAAUUUCAAGUUGAUAUCUAUAUGUGGUGUGAAGUGUGGAUUAAGAUUCAUUUCAUUUUUUUGCUCCUUUUGUUUUGUUACUUUGUACUAUACAUUCUGGAAAACAGGAAAACAGUAAAGUUAAACAACAAAAAUUUUUUCCUUUACUAUUGGUGGAGACACUGAAUUGAACAAAGCCCUUAACUGCCUUGUUCAACUGAAUUGGCCCUAAUUUGGUUUUCUUUUUAAAAGAUUCCAAAGACAAAACACAGUUUAAAACCUAGCUAAGAUGAAUUUAAACGUUUUUUUCCCUAAACUACUGGUUGAGUACCAGUAGUUUAGCACCAUUUUCUGUUUACUGUUGCAGGCUUUUCUUUGUCUUUUUCUUUUCUUGCUCUUCUCACUGGUCCAGCUGUAUCAUUUUCAUCAUGUUAAUUAUCACUAUCAAAUUUCGUUUUUCUUGCCCUGAAACUCUGCUUUACCUUUAGCAGACCCAGGCUGGGCAGCUUUAUUUCCUUUUUUUUUUUUUCCCUUUAAAUCUGUAACCUCUUGAUUUCCAUUUGUUUAGGGGUUCUGUUGGUCUUCUAUGAUAUUUUUUCAAAGCUGCUUUUCUCACCUCUCUAGUACUUUCCAAGUCACUUCUUUGUUCCUUAAUUGUAGAUUACCAUUGUUUGCAUCUUUGGCUUUAUCCUGUGCUUCCUUAGUCCGUCCUUCCUUCCUUCCUUCCUUCCUUCCUUCCUUCCUUUCUUUCUUUUUUUAAUUAGUUGCUCAAGACCUUAGUUUUUUCUUUAAAGAGAAAAAUUCCCUUUUUUGCUUCUCUGACAAAGUCUAUCCAUUUUAUUUCACCAUGAUGUGAGAAAAGGAUGUUCAAUUUUCUCUGCAGGUCUGAUCAUCUAAAUCAAUCAAAAAUUUCAGCAAGCAUCCAAUCUUUUCUUCUAGAGAUUUCAUUUCAGCAUCUUCUGCUAAGUAUUGUUUUUUUUUCCUUGCUCUUGUUUAGCUCUUAACUUAGCUUCCACUUUGUUUUGCUUACUUUCUUCAUUUUUUUUGAAAAGUAAUCUUCCUUAAAAACUAUUAGCAGAUCUAUAUUUUUGUACUUUUGGCUAGGGAUCUCUAUAAACUUCUUAGCAGAUCAGUGCUAUCAACCAGCAAAUAUUGAGCCCUUAACUGCUUUGUUCAAUGUUCUUCUUAUCAGAAUAUUUAGUACUUAACCUUUAUCUUUUAGCCAUUCUUUUAAUGUCACCAAGGGUUGUGUCGUUUGGGAAGCCUUUAAUAUAAACAAUUUUUGCAUAAUAUUUAUUCUCAUCUGUCACAACUGGGAGGGAUUUGCUUAGAGAUCUUCUGAUUUUAGUUUUGUCUUCACUGAUUUCCAUGAGUUCUGCCUUAAAUUUGCUUAAUGCUUCUACUUUUACAUUAAAGUCUGCUGUUUGAUGGUUUAAUCUCAAUUUGAUGACAGAUUUUGGUCUCCAGAGCAGCAAUUUUCAGCCACUGUAGCUAUCUUUAAGGUCCAGUACCAAGACUCCACAGGCUCACUAACAAGACAAAAUGUCUCCACUUUGCAGCACCACGAGUUGGGCUACUCACUCCAAGACUGAUUUCUUUUUGCUUAUACAUUUGCUAUUGUUCCACUUUUUACUCACUGAAUUACCAUGGAUCCUUCCUUGAAUAUCAGCUAAUUCUGUGUGUGUGUGUGUGUGUGUGUGUGUGUGUGUGUAUUUCUAUCUCUAAACCUCUGUCCUGUUCCAGUAAUCUGUUUGUCCUUACUCCAGUACUAUACUGCCUUGAUUUCCUCAGCUUUAUACUAAAUCUUGAACCCAAAUGAUUUCAACUUUCACUAUUUUACUUCUUUUUGAAAAUGGCCCAGUUUCUCUGUGCAACUCCUAGAAGAAAACAUAGUGUCAACACUGCAGCAUAUAAGCACACGAAAUGACUUUUUCAAUAGGACAACUAAAACCUAGGAAAUAAUGGCAAAAGUUAAUAAAUGCAAUGACAUCAAAUUAAAAAGUUUUUGUACAGCAAAGGAAACAAGAAAUGAAAAGAGAACCCGCAGAAUGGAAGAAAAUCUUUUCUAGCUACUCUUCUGACAAAAGAUUAAUAUCUAGAAUUUAUAAAGAACUCCAAAAACUUAUUUUUAAAUUUAUUUAUUUACUCUAAUUUGUUAUACAUGACAGCAGAAUGCAUUUCAUUUCUUAGUACAUAUAAAGCACAAAUUUUCAUGUCUCUGGUUGUUCACAAAGUAGAGUCACAGCAUUUGUAUAUUCAUACAUGUAUUUAGGGUAAUGAUGUUUAUCUCAUUCCACCAUCUUUCCUAUCCCCAUGCUCCCCGCCCCCGCCAUCCCCAUUAUGGGUCAGCAUCCACUUAUCAGGCAAAACAUUUGGCCUUUGGUUUUUGGGGGAUUGGCUUACUUCACUUAGUAUAAUGUUCUCCAACUCCAUCCAUUUACCUGCAAAUUCCGUGAUUUUAUUCUCAUUUAAUGCUGAGUAAUAUUCCAUUGUGUAUAUAUACCACAGUUUCUUUAAACAUUCAUCUACUGAAGACUGUCUAGGUUGGUUCCACAAUUUAGCUCUUGUAAAUUGUGCUGCUGUAAAUAUUGAUGUGGCUGUAUCACUGCAGUAUACUAUUUUUAAAGUCCUUUGGGUAUAAACCAGGGAGUGGGAUAGCUGGGUCAAAUGGUAGUUCCAUUCCAAGUUUUCCAAGGAAUGUCCAUACUGCUUUUCGUAUUAGCUGCACCAAUUUUGCAGUCCCACCAGCAAUGUAUGACUGACUAUGCCUUUUCCCCCACAUCCUCGCCAACACUUAUUAUUUGUAUUCUUAAUAGCUGCCAUUCUGACUGGAAUGAGAUGAAAUCUUAGAGUAGUUUUGAUUUGCAUUUCUCUAAUCUAGUGAGAGAGAUGUUGAAUGUUUUUUUUAGAUAUUUGUUGAUUGUAUAUCAUAUUCUGAGAAGUGUCUGUUCAGUUCCUUGGCCCAUUUAUGGUUGGGUCAUUUUUUUUUUGUUUUGUUUUUUGGUCUUAAGUUUUUUGAGUUCUUUAUAUAUCCUAGAGAUUAGUGCUCUAUCUGACGUGCAUGUGGUAAAAAAUUUUCUUCCAUUCUGUAGGCUCUCUAUUUGCCUCACUGAUUGUUUCUUUUGCUGAGAAUAAGCUUUUCAGUUUGAAUCAAUCCCUUUAUUGAUUCUUGAUGUGAUUUCUUGUGCUAUAGGAGAAAUAAAAUUAUUAUUCUAUUUCUUAUUAAGGAAGUCGGGGCUUAAUCUGUCAAGAUGAAGAUUUUGGCCUACUUUUUCUUCUGUUAGGCUCAGGUGCUUGGUGAGAGAUAGGGGCUUCUUUCAUUUUGCUGCAUAAGGAUUUCCAGUUUUCCCAGCACCAUUUAUUAAAGAGGCCAUCUUUUCUCCAAUAUAUGUUUUUGACAUCUUUGUCUAUUAGGAGAUAACUGUAUUUAUGUGGGUUUGACUCUGUGUCUUCUGUUCUGAACCAUUGGUCUACAAGCCUGUUUUGGUGCCACUACCAUGCCAUUUUUGUUACUAUUGCUCUGUAGUAUAGUUUAAGGUCUGGUAUAGUGAUGCCACCUGCUUUACUCUUUUUGCUAAAGAUUGCUUUAGCUAUUCUGGAUCUCUUAUUUUUCUAGAUGAAUUUUAUGAUUGCUUUUUCUAUUUCUAUGAGGAAUGUCAUUGGGAUUUUGAUUGGGAUUGCAUUAAAUCUGUAUAGUGCUUUUGGUAGUAUAGUCAUUUUGACAAUAUUAAUUCUGCCUAUCCAAGAAUAAGAAAGAUCUUUCCAUCUUCUAAGGUCUUCUUUAAUUUCUUUCUUUAGUGUUCUGUAGUUUUUGUUGUAGAGGUCUUUCACCUCUUUCAUUAAGUUGAUUCCCCAAUUUUUUUUUUGAGGCUAUUGUAAACAGGGUGGUUUUCCUAAUUUCUCUUUCAGAGAAUUUUUCACUGAUGUACAGAAAUGCCUUUGAUUUUGGUGUGUUGCUUUUAUAUACUGCUACUUUGCUGAAUUCACUUAUUAGUUCUAGAGGUUUUUUGGUAGAAUUUUUUGGAUCCUCUAGGUUUAGAAUCAUAUUGUUGGCAAAUAGUGAUAGUUUAGUUCUUCUUUUCCUAUCCAUAUCCCUUUAAUUUCUUUCAUCUAAUUGCUCUGGCUAGAGUUUCAAGAACUAUGUUAAAUAGAACUGGUGAAUUGGGCAUCCCUGUCUUGUUCCAGUUUUUAGAGAGAAUGCUUUCAAUUUUUCUCCAUUUAGAAUGAUGUUGGCCUGAGCCUUAGUAUAGAUAACUUUUACAAUGUUGAGAUAUGUUCCAGUUAUCCCUAAUUUUUCUAGUGUUUUGAACAUUAAGGGGUGCUGUAGUUUGUUGAACUGUUUUUCUGCAUCUAUUGUGAUGAUCAUAUGAUUCUUAUCUUUAAGUCUAUAGAUGUGAUGAAUUACAUAUAUUGUUUCUGUAUAUUGAGCCAACCCCAGGAUGAACCCUACUUGAUUGUGGUGUACUAUCUUUUUAAUAUGUUUUUGUAUUCAUAUUCAAUUUGCCAGGAUUUCAUUGAGAAUUUUUGCAUCUAUGUUCAUUAGAGAUAUUGGUCUGAAGUUUUCUUUCUUUGAUGUGGUCUUUGCCUGGUUUUGGGAUCAGGGUGAUAUUGGCCUCAUAGAAUGAGUUUGGAAGUGUUCCCUCUUUUUCUAUUUCAUGAAUUAAUUUGAGGAGUAUUGAUAUUAGUUCUUCUUUGAAUAUCUUGUAGAACUGUGUAUCUGUCUGGUCCUGGGCUUUUCUUGAUUGGUAGGCUUCUGAUGACAUCUUCUAUUUCAUUACUUGAAACUGAUCUGUUUAACUUGUGUAUAUCAUCCUGAUUCAGUUUGGACAAAUCAUAUGACUCAAGAAAUUUUUCAAUGCCUUCAAUAUUUUCUAUUUUAUUGGACUAUAAAUUUUCAAAAUGGUUUCUAAUUAUCUUCUGUAUUUCUGUAGUGUCCAUCCUGAUAUUUCCUUUUCCAUCAUGGAUGUUAGUAAUUUGAGGAAAUCAAAUACAAAAACAUAUCAAUAUCUCUCUCCUUCUCUUAAUUAGUAUGGCUAAGGGUUUAUCAAUUUUAUUUAUUUUUUUCAAAGAACCAACUUUUUGUUUUCUCAAUUUUUUCAGUUGUUUCUUUUUUUCCAAUUUCAUUAAUUUUACUCUGAUUUUAAUUAUUUCUUCUGCUGCUUUUGGUGUUGAUUCGUUCUUUUUUUCUAGGGCUUGGAGAUGUAAUGUUAUGUCAUUUAUUUGUUGACUUUUUUCUUUUUUUAAGGAAUGAAUUCAAUGCAAUGAACUUUCUUCUUUUUCAGUAGCAUAUUAUUUAGUCUACAGGUGUUAGAGUAGCUUCUAUUUUUAUUUUAUCAUUGAUUUAUAAUUUUAUUCCAUUUUGAUCUGAUAGAAUUCAGGGUAGUAUCUCUACUUUUUUGUAUUUGCUAAGAAAGAGUUGCUUUGUGGCAUAAUAUAUGGUCUAUUUUAGAGAAGGAUCCAUGUGCUGCUGAGAAGAAAGUGUAUUCACUCGUUGAUAGAUGAAAUAUUCUAUGUAUGUCAGUAAAGUCUAAGUUAUUGAUUGUAUUAUUGAGUUCUAUAGUUUCUUUGUUUAGCUUUUGUUUGGAAGAUCUAUCCAGUGGUGAAAGAGGUGUGUUAAAGUCACCCAGAAUUAUUGUGUUGGUCUGUUUGGCUCUUGAACUUGAGUUUGUUUGAUGAAUGUAGAUGCUCCAUUGUUUGGGCCAUAUAUAUUUACACUUGUUAUGUCUUGUUGAUGUAUGUUUCCCUUAAGCAGUAUGAAAUGUCCUUCUUUAUUCCUUUUAAUUAACUUUGGAUUGAAGUCUACUUUAUUUGAUAUGAGGAUGGAAACUCCUGCAUGUUUCCACAGUCCAUGUGAGUGGUAUGUUUUUUCCCCAACCUUUCACCUUCAGUUUGUGGAUGUCUUUUCCUAUGAGAUGAAUCUCUUGAAGGCAGCAUAUUGUUGGAUCUUUUGGUUUUUAAAUCCAGUUUUCCAGUCUAUGUCUUUUGCCUGGUGAGUUUAGGCCAUUCAUAUUCAGGAAUAUUAUUGAGACAUGAUUUGUAUUUCCUGUCAUUUUUGUUUAUUUUUGGUAUUUAACUUGACUUGUUUUCUUUUUUGAUUCCUUUUUCCUUUAGUGUAAUACCUCCUUUUGCUGAUUUUCAUUGUUGUUUUUCAUUUUCUCCUCAUGGAAUAUUUUGCUGAGGAUGUUCUGUAGUGCAGGCUUUCUGGUUGUAAAUUCUUUUAACUUUUGUUUAUUAUGGAAGGUCUUUAUUUCAUUAUCAAAUAUAAAGCUUAAUUUUUCUGGACAUAAGAAUCUUGGUUGGCAUCCAUUUUCUUUCAGAGUUUGGUAUAUGUUGUUCCAUUAUCGCCUGGCUUUGAGGGUCUAGGUUGAAAAAUCUACUGAGAUCUUAAUUGUUUUCCCCCUAUAUGUGAUCUGAUUCCUUUCUCUUAUGGCUUUUAAAAUUCUUAUUCUGUAUGCUAGGCAUUUUCAUUAUAAUGUGUCUUGGUGUAGAUCUGUUGUAAAUUUGUAUAUUUGGUGUCCUGUAAGCCUCUUGUAUUUGAUUUUCCAAUUCAUUCUUCAUGGUUGGGAAAUUUUCAGAUAUUUUUCAUUGAAGAGAUUGUGCAUUCCUUUGGUUUGAAUCUCUAGGCCUUCCUCUAUCCCAAUAAAUCUUAGAUUUGGUCUUUUGAUGUUAUCCCAUAAUUCUUGGAUAUUCUGUUCAUGAUUUCUUACCAUUUUCACUGUGUGGUCAACUUUAUUUUAAAGAUUGUAUAUUUUGUCUUCAUUAUCUGACGUUCUAUCUUCCAAGUGAUCUAGUCUGUUGGUGAUGCUUUCUAUUUUUUUUUUUUUAAUUUUGUUUACUGUUUCCUUCAUUUCUGGAUUUCUGAUUUUUUUCCCAGAAUCUCUAUUACCUUCUUGAAGUAGUCUUUUGCUACCUGUAUUUGCUCCCUUAUUUCUUUCUUGUUGUGAUCAGUGGUUGCCUGUAUUUGCUCACUUAUUUCUUUGUUGGAAUGAUCAAUUUUUGCCUGUAUUUGCUCAUUUAUAUUGUUCUUUAAUUCAUAGAUCAUUUUAAUUAUGUACAUUCUGAACUCCUUCUCUGAAAUUUUAUCAACUGCACUGUCCAUGAAUUCUAUUACUGUAUUAUCUCAGUUUGUUUGGGACACUUUCCUCCCUUGAUUUUCCUGUUGUCUAUGUGUCUUCCUUUCUUGCAGUGCAGAUCUGAGGUAUUACAGUUUCUACUCUAUAAUAUUAUAGUGUCCCUGCAGAUUACCUGUACCUCACCUUGUUGUUGGGCUUCUGGACCCCAGCUGGUGUCCCAUGAUAAAUGCUCCUGCAACUAAAGGUGGUGGUGGCAAUAGCGGAAUUAACUCAAGAUAGCAAUGGGGGUGUCCCAACAUAGAUGCAACUGCUUUCAGAGAUGGGACUGAAAGGGUGGGCCUUUCAAUGGCUUUGGACUGACUAUUCUGAGAUGCAGCUGCCUUCAGGCCCUAUCUGUGUCCCAAGAUGUAGGCUACUGUAUGGGGAUGGCUAUGGUAAUGGCUACACGGUCCAAAGAUGGAGGUGGGGUGGGCAGGGUUCUGUGUGGGUCUGCUGGUGGGUGGGUGGGUGUGGUCUGGGGCCGGAGUCUACGUUCCAGCCAGUUUCCUGGGCAGUCCUGGAGAAUGUGGCUCGUGGUUAAGCACCUAUGGGUUUAAUCCCUGGUUAAAAAAAAAAUAGGCAUGGAACUGCCAUAUGACCCAGCUAUACCACUCCUUGGAAUUUAUCCUAAAGAAUUAAAGUCAUCAUACUAUAGCAAUAUAUGCAUACCCAUGUUUACAGUAGCACAAUUAACAAUAGCCACACUAUGGAAGCAGUCUAGGUGUCUAACAUAUGAAUGGAUAAAAAGAAUGUGGUAAAUAUAUAUAUGUAGACAGACACACAUAAUGGAGUUUUCCUCAGCAUAAAGUAAAGUGAAAUUAUGUCAUUUGCAGGAAAAUUGAUGGAACUUGAGGACAGUACGUUAAGCAAAAUAUAUAUGACUCUCAUAUAUGGGAGCUAGCAAGGGAAAAGGAAAAGAAAACUGGGGUGACCCAUGAAAAUCAAAUGGAAAUCAGCAGAAUAAAGGAAAGGGACCAGUGGGAGGGAAGAGGAAAGGGAAAGGAGAAAUACUGGGGAAUUAUAUUUGUCAAAUUGUAGUUAUAUUACAUGCAUAUACAAAUAUGUAACAAUGAAUCCCACCAUUGUGUACCACUAUAAUGCACCAAUAAAAAAAAUGUGGGAAAAAAUAAAAUUGCCCAGUUUCUCAUCCAAAAAGGGAAGGACAUUUGUUAUAGAAUUAAAGACAUGAGAGACAUAAAAUUCGCAUCCCUCAUGUCAUUCCCAUUGAAAUGUAAACUUGGAAAAAGUCUACUAAAGAUAUUCAUUGUUCAUUUUUUAUUCAUUCUAAUAAUGCCUCUUUUUGUUAUGAUCUCAUCUCAAAAAAGUUUCUAACUUUGAUUUUAAAAAUGGGAAACAUCUGUAACCUAAUAUAUUAACUCAACUGUUUAUUUUCUAGCUUUAUUAUGAAGAAUAAUUAUUAAAUAAAAUACCCCAAAAUCAUGAAUACUAUAAUUCUUAGAAAGUGCUUUCUAGAUUGAAAGAAAUUUAAUAUAGUUUGAACUAGUCAAAAGUCCAUAAAGUUUGUGAAAUUUGUCUAUAGUAACUUUUUACAAUCUAUACUGUGUGUUGGAAAAUUAAAUACUAAGUUAGGUAAAACUAAAAACAAAUUUCCUCUCUUCAAUGUAAACAUAUUGAUUCAGAAUAAUAUAUCAACUUUUCCACCAUAUCUAGAUCUUUCUCAAAAACUAGGUGAAGAGAAAGAUAUUCCUAACAUUUGAGGCUACAACUAGAAGCAGCAUGUGUUUUACUUAAAACUGCUUUGUGAAUACAAUGUUCUAAUUGCUGAAUUUUCAAGUUUUUUCAUAUGGAAUUAUUUUCUAAGUCUUCCACUUCAUUCAUUUGUUCAGCAAGUACUGAGUACCCACUAUGUGCUAGGCACUUUCCUAGGACAUUGGGGAUAGCAGGCUGAGUAAAACAGACAAGAAGGCCUAGUCUCAUAAAGUUUACAAUCUAGUCUGGAACUCCUUAGCUCAUGUCAGGAAGACCAAUCAUAUUUAACUAGUGGUAUUGUGUAUUUCCCAGUAUAUUAUCUCUUAUCCCCAUGUGUAUGGGAAGAACAGUAGUAAAACACUGUUAUUGUCUUUAGGAAUUGCAUGGCUAUAUGUCUGAGAUGAUAGAUAUGUCAAUUACUCCUAUCUGAUCACUACACAUUGUAUGCUUGUAUUGAACUGACUGCCACAGUACAGAAAGGAUUGGGGAGAGGUUCAUGAAAAUUGAAGGGCGAUCAGUAGGGAAGAGGAAAUGGACAAGAGGGAGAGAAAAGGGGGGGAAAGGGCAAAUACCAGGGAAUGAAUUUGGCCAAAUUAUAUUGUUAUAUCAUGUGCAUGUAUGAAUAAAUAACAAUGAAUUCCUCCAUCAUGUCUAAUUAUAAUGUACCAGUAAAAUAUAAAAAAUUGCCACACUGCAUCCAUAAAUAUAUAAAAUUACUAUGUGUCAUUUAAAAAUAUAUUAAAAGGAGAAUGGCAUGGCAAUCAUUCUGAAUUUCCAAAGUUGAAUAAGAAUAUAAUAAAUUGGAAGGAACAAAAAACUCCCUAUGUGAGUACUCAGCUGAAAUCUUCUCCAGAUGGUUGAGAUAUUUAUAUACUAUGUGAAGCUAUUUAUUGACUUAAUUCUCAUACUAAAUGAAGAUAGGGAUAAAUUUUAAACAUUUUUUAAAAACCUUAGAUUAAAUACCUGUCUCAGAAGAAAGUUAUAGUAGUGAUGGAGGAUAUCAACCACCCAGAUGUUUGAUGUUCACUUUGUUCCCCUAAAAUGAGAAUGUUUUGGUGCCUACUUACCAGGGAUAGAAAGUGCUUAAUACAAGCAAUGCUCAGGGGUAGGGGUGGUGCAAAAUGAGAAAACCACUCUAACCAAAGAAAAAUUAUAUAGCCACAAAUUUUAAAAAGACACUCAGAAAAAUUAUAACAAAGAAGAUAUAUUAAACUACAUUAUAAAUAUAAAGCAUCUUUUUGUAAUGAUAAUAAUGUUAGGUUUCAAAAUUAAAAUAUAUCUGAUUGAGUAGAACUACUGUUUUGAACAAUUUCUCGUGUGACAGACAAAAUAUAAAUUACAAAAAGAAUCUGUCCAAUUGAGUAGUAUACUUGGUGAAAAUAUCUUCUAAGAUGCCAAGACAUUUUAUCUGCAUCUUCACCUGCUUUAGGAAAUAAUUCUGACUUUCUAGGUAAGUUCAAGAAGUUCUAUCUCCAGCAAGAAGUAAUAAAAAUGAUGAGAUAAUAACAAAUAUCCACUGAAUUAGAAUUCCUAUUAGUGUAAAAACUGGCAUUCGUGUAUUGAUCUGUUUUGCAGUCAUUGUAUCAUAUGUUGAUUUAUUAUUAUGAUUUUACUUUUAAAAUAUUGGUAAAGAGACCAGGUGUGUGGUAGUGCAACCCUGUAAUCUCAGUUUCUUGGGAGGCUGAUGCAUGAGGAUUGAAAGUUCAAGGUCAGUCUGGGUGACAUAGUGAGAUGCUGUCUCAAAAAAAUAAAAAAAGACUCGAAAUGUAGCUCAGCAGUAGAGCACCUCUGGGUUCAAACCCCAGUACUGCCCCCUCCCCCCCGCCCAAAAAAGUCGAAAAUCUGAUGUAUUAGAAUUAUGGAGAGCAUAACUGGUAAAACUUAGAACAUAGUAAUCAGCUGUCCUGUUUUGCCCAGAACCAAGGUUUCUUGAAAUGGAAGACUGUCAGUCCUGGGACAGUCCCAGGUAAAGAGGAACAGUUGAUUCCUGCAAAUUUCAAUUAGUUUUUUUUAAAAAAAAUAUGGUUUGUAAAAAGAUAUUAAUUAUAGAGAGAUCCAAGAUGGUGAAAUAGAGGAGGUCGCGUUCCUGGCAGCUCCAUGGUGUGAAACCAAUAGAGCAUACAGGUAGCUUCUCUGCAAAGUGGGUGAACAAAACAAAAAGGGAGGGGGACUUUACUGGAACUUAAAACUGGACACCCAAUGCAGACCAGGUACAUACAUAGGAGGUUGGAUAUAAUAAAAUAAGGAAAAAAUCCCCAAUAGCACAGCUGCUGCCAGAGCCAGGCCAGAAAUCCUAGCCAGAGGGGUCCCUCCAUGAGCAUAGUAGAGGGAUAGGGAAUUAAAGGAACCCACAUUCUGGGGAGGCCUGAGGCGUGUCUUGGUACUGAGUGUUUAGAUACUAAGGAUAUUGCCCAAAAACCUGAAGGACUUACUGCAAGAUUUCCAUGUGUGUGGGGAAAGAAGCCACCAUCUCCCCAGGCAGCAUUGGAGGACAAAGGAAGGAAUCAUUUUGCAGCUUUGGGUGGGUGGGUUGGGGGCACGGUAAUGGAGAAAGCAGAUUCCUGGCAAAACCGAGUUUGGCCUGAAAUACUGACCCAGUAAACAGAUGCUGCACGACACAGUAUGUACUUAAGUGACCAGAAGAAAAUCACAUGUGGGAAGAGAUUUAUACAGGGGACAACUGGUCCUGGAAACCACUCGGCUCUUCCCAUCCCCUGCUGGGAGAGAUGUUUCUGAAAAGGUGGAGGUGGGAGAAAUUGUCUGGAGACUGAACCAGAGGCCAGUCAGAAACAUCUCUCCCAAUAGGUUCUGCAAGUAGACUGGAGUGGGAAGGGAGAUACCUGGCAUAGAAUCUUACAGUGUGGACCAGCAAGUACUGGCUGCUGAAACUGUGCUCAUUUCAAAUCUCCAGACCAAUUAGCAUUCAGCCAAGAGCCUGGAGCCUGCCUAAACCUAAACUCUGCCUCCAGGAAACUCCAACUACAGGAUGACCUCUCUCACUCCAGUAAUCCAUAAAAUGGAGUAUCACCCUCCAGAAGACCCCACCUGAAACUGCUAAGAAGAGAAGCUGAGAAUAUUUUGAACUCCACUAGAAAGAAUGCUUCAACUUUUAAUCAAGAUUUUUUUUUUCUUUUCUUUUUUAAAAUUCUUUUUCACUGGGCUGGGGAUGUGGCUCAAGCGGUAGCGCGCUUGCCUGGCAUGCGUGCGGCCCGGGUUCGAUCCUCAGCACCACUACAAACAAAGAUGUUGUGUCUGCCGAAAACUAAAAAAUAAAUAUUAAAAAAAAAUUAUUUUUCACUGUUUAAUUGUGACCUUAAUGGUACGUGGACGUUUAUACAUUUUCUUAUUUUUUUCCUUCUUAUCUCUAGGAUUUUUGAAGGCACUUAUUUUACAUGGAUUAGUUUUUUUGUGUGUGUGUGAAGUAGGAUGUUUGAUUAGUAUAUUUUAGUUUUGUUUUGUAUUCUUUUAUUUAUUUUUUUCUGAUGGAAUAUAUUUUUAUUAAUUUUUUAAUUUGUUUUACUUAGUUUUACAUGACAGUAGAAUGCAUUUAUGCACUUUGAUAUAUCAUACAUAGAUGGGAUAUAAUUUCUCAUUUUUCUGAGUAUACAUGUUAUAGAAUCAUAUUGGUCAUGCAGUCAUACACACAUACAUACACACACACACACACACACACACACAGUAAUAAUGUCUGUUUCAUUCAUCUUUUCUAUCCCCUUCCCUCCUCUCUCUUUACUUCCCUCUACCUAAUCUAAGGUAAUGCUAUUCUCUAGUGGCCUCUGCCUUAUUGUUAAUUAGCAUCUGCAUAUUAGAGAAAAUAUUCGACCUUUGUUUUUUUGGGAUUGGCUUAUUUUGCUUAGCAUGUUAUUCUCCAACUCCAUCAAUUUACUGGCAAAUGCCAUAAUUUCUAUCUUUAAAGCUGAGUAAUAUUCCAUUGAGUAUAUAUACUACAUUUUCUUUACCCAUUCAUCUAUUGAAGGACACCUUGGUUGGUUCCAUAGUUUAGCUAUUGUGAAUUGAGCUGUUCUAAACAUUGAUGUGGCUGUAUUACUGUAAUAUAUUGAUUUUAAGUCCUUUGGGUAUAAACCGAGGAGUGGGAUAGCUGGGUCAAAUGGUAGUUCCAUUCUAACUUUUCUGAGGCUUUUCAUACUGGUUGCACCAAUUUGCAGUCCCACUAGCAAUGCAUGAAUGUACCUUUUCUCCCACAUCCUUGCUAACAUUUAUUGUUGCCUGUAUUCUUUUUUUUUAGUAUUUAUUUUUUAGUUGUAAUUGGACACAAUAUCUUUAUUUUAUUUAUUUAUUUUUAUGUAGUGCUGAGGAUCAAACCCAGGGCCUCACACAUGCUAAGUGAGUGCUCUAUUGCUGAACCACAACCCCAGCCCCUUGCCUAUAUUCUUGAUGAUUGCCAUUCUGACAGGAGUGAGAUGAAAUCUUGAUGUUGAACGCUUUUUCAUAUAUUUGUUGAUUGAUUGUAUUUCUUCUUCUGUGAAGUGUCUGUUCAGUUCUUUAGCCCAUUUAUUAAUUGGGUUAUUUAUUUUUUUUGGUGUUAAGUUUUUUGAGUUCUUUGUAUAUCCUAGAGAUUAAUGCUUUAUCAGAGGUGCAUGUGGUAAAGAUUUUCUCCCAAUCUAUAGGCUCUCUCCUCACAUUAUUGAUUGUUUCCUUUGCUGAGAAUAAGCUACUCUAUAGAGCUAUAGUAACAGAAACAAACUUAUAGACCAAUGGUACAGAAUAGAGGACACAGAGACAAACCCACAUAAAUAUGGUUAUGUCAUACUAGACAAAGGUGCCAUAAACAUUCACUGGAGAUAGUUUCUUCAACAAAUGGUGAUGGCAAAACUGGAAAUCUAUAUGUACCAAAAUGAAAUUAAACCUCUAUCUCUCACCCUGCACAAAAAUCAACUCAAAGUAGAUCAAAGACUUAGGCACUAGAACUGAGACCCUGUGCCUAAUAGAAAAAAAAAAAAACAGGCCCAAAUCUUCACCAUGUCAGCCUAGGUAUGUCAGCCUAGGAUCUGAAUUCCUUAACAAGACUCCUAAAGUGCAAAAAGUAAAAUCAAGAAUCAAUAAAUGGGAUGUAUCAUUUUAUUUUUAUUUUUAAUUAAAAAACUUUUACUUUAUAUAUUUUUUUCUCCUACCUGUUUCCCUUGAUUCUCUCUUCUGCUAACAGCCAAUCUCUAUUAUUCUCUUUCACUCUUCCUUUAAUCUUUUACUUCUGUCUUCUCUCCUCUUUCUUCAUAAUCUUCACAUCCUAUAUCACUUUCUCCCUGUCCACUGUUUGAAAAUGCAAAUCCAGGGUUAGGUUUGUAGCUCAGUGGCAGAGCACUCCCAUAGAACUUGUGAGGCACUGGGUAUGAUCCUCAGUACUACAUAACAAUAAAUAAAUAAAAUGUACUGUGUCCAUUUAAACUAAAAAAGAAUCUUUUAAAAAAGAAAGAAAACACAAAUCCUUUUGCAAACUUGCUGUUUUAUUACAGGCAAUAACCGAUCCUAUCAUUUCUGUUUAUUAUGAUAAUUAACAUUGUAGAAAUCAUAGUAGGAACCAUUUGGUUUAAUGCUGUAAAUUGUUUGCAUUGGUCAUUUUUUAAAUUUGUCUACCCCUAAACAGUGAGGAACUGGAAACCUUCAGGGAUACUAUAAAUCCACAGGUAGAAACUCUACUGUCUCACAUCCAUACUGGUAGAUGGGUAGAAACAUAAACAAUAUAAAAAAUAAGAGAGAAGAUUGCCCCAAGCAAGCCAAGAUACUCCAAUAACAGAAUCCAUCAACACCACAGUAGAAGAAAUGUCGGAGAAGGAGUUUAAGAUAUACAUAGUUAAAUUGAUCUGCGAAGUAAAGGGUGAUUUAAGAGAUACCUGUAAGCAAAUACAGGAGCAAAAGAUCACUUCAAUAAAGAGAUAGAGAUUCUGGGGGGAAAAAAACAAGCAGAAAUCCUCAAAAUGAAGGGCACAGUAAACCAAAUUAAAAAUUCAAUAAAGCAUCACCAACAGCCUGGACCACUUGAAAGACAGAACCUCAGGCAAUGAAAACAAAAUAUACAAUCUUGAAAAUAGAGUUGAACAUGGAGAGAAGGUGUUAAGAAUAGAACUUCCAAGAAAUAUGGGAUAACAUGAAAAGACCAAAUUUAAGAUUUAUCAGGAUAGAUAAAGGCAUGGAGAUACAAACCAAAGGAAUACAUAAUUUUUUCAAUGAAAUAAUACAGAAAAUUUCCCAAAUCUAAAGAAUGAAAUGGAAAAUCAAAUACAAGGGGCUUAUAGGACCCUAAAAGUGCAAAAUUGCAACAGACCCACAUCAAGGCACAUUAUAAUGAAAAUGCCUAGCAUACAGAAUAAGGAUAGAAUUUUAAAGGCCGUGAGGGAAAAACAUCAGAUCACAUAUAGGGGGAAACCAAUAUGGAUCUCAGCUGAUUUCUCAACCCAGAUCCUCAAACCAAGGAGGUCUGCAAAUGACAUAUACCAAGCUCUGAAAGAAAAUGGAUGCCAACCAAGAAUUUUAUAUCCAGCAGAAUUAAACUUCAGAUUUGAAGAUGAAAUAAAAACCUUCCAUGAUAAACAAAUAUUAAAAGAAUUUGCAACAGAAAGCCUAUACUUCAGAAAUUCUCAACAAAAUGUUCUGUGAAGAUGAAAUGUGAAAAAAAGUGAAAACCCACAGAGAGGAACUACAACUAAGUGAAUAAUAGUCAAUCAAAGAGAAACUAAUUCAAAAAAAAAAAACUAGAAAUAAACCAAAAUGACUGGGAACACAGAUCACAUCUCAAUAAUAACCCUAAUGUUAAUGGCCUAAACUAAUGAAUCAAAAGACAUAGAUUGGCAGAUUGGAUUUUUUUUAAAAAAGAUCCAACAAUAUGCUGUCUCCAAGUGACUCACCUCAUAGGCAAAGACAUUCACAGACUGAAGGUGAAAGUUUGGGAAAAACCAUCACUCACAUGGAUUGCAUAAACAAGUAGGGGUUUCUAUCCUCAUAUCUGAUGAAGUGGACUUCAAGCCAAAGUUAACCACUAGGGAUAAAGAAGAACAUUUUAUACUGCUUAAGGGAAUAAUAUACAUCAACAAGACGGAACAAUCUUAAAUAUUUAUGCCCUAAACAUCUACAUAGCAUCCACGUACAUCAAACAAACCCUUCUCAAUUUCAAGAAUCACAUAGACCACAACACAAUAAUAUUGGGUUAGAACACUUUUAUUCAUAUAUAUGAAUACAAAUGUGAAUAUAUAUAUAAAAAUACACAUGAAAAUAUUUAAAUGGAUAUGGAUAUUUACACUUUUGGUAAGAUAUAGGAUAUGAUUAUGUAACUGAAUAUAUAUGAAAAUUUAUGGGUAGGAUUUGGGUUGCCAUUAGGGUGUGUGUGUGUGUGUGUGUGUGUGUGUAUGUAUAUAAACAUAUACAGAAUAUAUAUGUGAAAAUAUAUAUGGAUAUUCAGUAAUAUAAUUUUUGUUUAAAAGGCUCAUGAUUAUUGAUAGGAUUAGGUUUAGUUCUGAGUUACAGCUUUGGUUUAGGAGAUGGGUUGCCUUUGGAACAUAUAUAUCAAUAUAUAUGAAUAUAAAUAUGAAUAUAGAGGUAAUAUCAUAUACCAAAAUUUAUAUAUAUACUUUUAUCUAUGGAUUUUUUAAGGUAAGCAAUAUUGUUAUGUGUGAAAUCUGGGUUAAACCUAUGAAAAUGAGCUUAUAUAUAAAAUAUCUUUGAGUUUUUAUGUGAAUUUAUGAACUUAUAUCCCCAAAUACAUAGGUACAUUCAUGUAAAAUGUUAUGGUUUAUAUGAAUAGAGGUUUCUCAGAGGUUUAUUGGUAGGUAUAGGAUUUUUAUAGAAAAAAAUAGGGUUAGUUUAGGGAUUGAACAUUUUUAUGUAUAUAUAGAAAUAAAAAUAUGAAUAUAUAUGUAAAAACAUACAUGUUGAGAUAGAUGUUUACAGUUUGUUUUAAUAAUAGUUUAUAAUUAUGUAAAUUAAAAUGUAUGAGUAGGAAUUUGGUUGCUGUUAGGGUAUAUUCAUAUAUAUAUGAAUGUAUGUAAACAUAUGUAGGAAUAUAUAUGUGAAAAUACAUAUGGAUUUUCAGUCUAAAAAUAAAAAAUUUUAAAAAGAUAUUUAUUAUAAAGGUAAAAUUUACAUUCAAGAAUCUUUAAUAAGGAAUGCUAUAUAUUGCAUUAUACCAAGAUGCAUACAAUAUUUACUUUGCUCUGGUUUCUGUUGGCUUAACCUAAGAGAGAUAUCAGAGAGCUAGUGUAUUUAUUCCCCAUCUCUUCACCUUGAUGCAAUUUGGUUACUGGCAGAAUUCUAUGGUCAUAUUUCUUAUAAGGGAGCCUCACUUCCAUACUGUAAACUCUCAUAUGCUAGUUUUUCCCCAUAUCCCUUUUAGACCUAAAGGUGGUAAAAGCAUAUAAUUGCUACCAGACCCUAUACCUCAUUAUUUUCUUUUAACUUUGCCUACAUCUCUGUAAAUUAUUCCUUCAGUACACUCUUUUUGGUAGCACUCUCUAAAUAUGCUUUUUGUUUCCUGCCAGAAUCCUGACAUGAAUAGAUAGAUUUAAUAAAUUUUGAUGAGGGAAUAAACCCUAGAAAUUAAUUAAAACCAAGAGUUAGAAAGGUAGUUUAAUAAAAAAAAAAAAGUUUCUCUAAAAAUAAAUUUUAAAAACCUUACAUUUAAAACCAUUAUAAGGGCUGGGGAUGUGGCUCAAGCAGUAGCGCGCUUGCCUGGCAUGCAUGUGGCCCGGGUUCGAUCCUCAGCACCACAUACAAACAAAGAUGUUGUGUCCGCCGAAAACUAGAAAAUAAAUAUUAAAAAAAAAAAUUAAAAAAAAAAAACCAUUAUAAAUCAUAGAGGAACAUUAGAGCACAUUAGAAUGUGGUCCCCUAACCACCUGAAAUAAUUUCCAUAUUACCAUAGAAGUUAAAACAAUAUCAAUGAAAUGCCCUUCAGGAUUUUAUAGAAUCUGAUGACACAGUAAUAGAGAAAUUGUUUUGAAAAAUAAAAAGUCAGAUACCAAAAAAGGUUAAUAUGUUUAAUCUUUGUACUAGAGUAUCAAUAUCAGAUAUUGUUUUACAAAAUAUAAAUUAAAAAAUUGGCAUUAAAUUAAACCCACAGAGAAUGGAAUAGCUUAAAAAUAAAUUCCAACUAUUAUAAGAAUUUGGUGUGUGCAAGUCAAAAGCAACAUAACAACAGGGCUCAACAUGAAGGAUUUAGAUGAGGUGGAAAUCUGAGAUAUGUCAUCUGUCAACUGGAUUCUAUCAGGUGACAGGUUUCCUGUGUAAUCUGGGACAUGUGUCACCAGAGGUGUGUGGUUUAGCAAUUAGAGAUAUGCAAUAUUUUAUGAUUAGUAAUAAAAAAUAAUUAAGGACUAAUUUUAAAUAUUUAAAAUAUUUAUAUUCAUUAGGUUCUUUUGUUUUCCUAAAGUUUCUUAGAGUUUUGAUUUGUUGUAAAGAUGUUGACUUGAUUUACAUAGCAACUUAGUGCAACAUUCUAAAGUUUGUGGCAUUUACUCAAUCUUUGCCUAUGCUAUUUUUUUUUAUGGAGAAAAUGUACUUAAUCCAACAAGAGUACAAGUGGAAGACAAGGAAAAGGAGGGAAAGUCUGGGAGAAAAUGCAUGUGAGAUGAGCUUACAGUUAAAAGUGGGAAGUAGGCAGUAAAUGAAGAAGUUUUCAAAACUGAAAAUAUCUACUACUUGGUGAAGCCACUGGUUACAAGUGAAGCAGUAAGAGUUUGAGGAAAGAAUCAAAGUUUUGGAGAAGUCAUGAAAACAUUAGGUAAAAGAGAUGAAGAAACAUAAAUAUGAAAAGAAAAAAAAAAAAGAAUUGCCAACCUAUCUCCAGUUGAGAUUAAGAAUCCAGAAUCUACAUUAACAAUCCCCCAGCCAAUUCACACUCUAAAAUGAAAAGUGCUUAAUGUGGAUUUUAUUCCAUUUUGUAUUAAAAAAAUAAAAACACCUAUAUACGUGUAUAAGAAUAUGACCAGCAACUCCAGAGGCAGAAGGAUCACAAAUUCAAGGCCAGCACUUGGCAAUUUAGUGAGUCUCUAUCCCAAAAUAAAAAAUAAAAAGAGCUUGGAAUAUAGUUCAGCGGUAGAGCACCCCUGGGUUCAGUCCCUAGUACCAAAAUAAAAAAUAAAAAAAGAAUAUAUAUGGACCUGGGAUUGUGGCUCAGCGGUAGAGUUCUUGCCUAGCAUGGGCGGGACCCAGGUUCAAUCCUCAGCACCACAUAAAAAUAAAAUGCAUUGUGUUAUGUCCAUCUACACCAAAAAAUAAACUUUUUAAAAAAGAAUAUAUACAGGAAAGUGUCUAGUAUAUAUACCUAUUUGUUAGGAGGGGAAUGUGUUUGAGGUUUGGAGCACUUUCCCUUUUACUCUACGUACUUCCGUAUGAAUUUUUAUGACAGCAGUGUACGUUUGCACUACCAGUGUAAAACAUGGGGAAUGUAAAGCAAUGGUCUAAAAAAGGCACUAAGUUCCUGAGCUGGAUACAUGUCCUUAUCUCCAUAGAGAUCAUCCAGAACCUAUCUACAUAACUUGAAGCUUCAGAGCCAGCAAAAGUCCCACUGGGAUCCUCUCAGCACAGCAAAACAGAGCCAGCCUGAAAGGUUAGGAGUAUCUGAUUCCACUGCUGCUGGGGUGGGGGUGGGGGUUCAACUAGCCAGUAGUGCUUACUUCUGGCCAUUAAAUCCAUCCCAACCCAGAGAAGAUCUGGAAGGCUCGUAAAAUUAUAUUUGUCUUGCUGCUAAAAAGUCUGCCAAUAGGGAAUCUUCUUCCAGCUGUCGGAAAGGGAUCCAGGUUCUAUUUUGACAACUGCAAUAAGUGGCAACAGCAGAAAAUUCCAUGGCUGGCCAGAGUUCCUCAUUAUAUUGCUAUUUUAAGAUAGAUCUAAAGCAACAUUGUAUAUUUCUUGAAAUAUUACUAUUAUUAUUAUUAUUUUGGUACUGAGGAUUAAACCCAGGGAUGCUUAAAAUAUUGAACCAUAUCCUCAGCUCUUUUUUUACUUCAAGACAGGGUCUUACUAAGUUGCUCAGAGCCUCACUAAGUUGGUGAGGCUGGCUUUGAACUUGCUAUCCUCCUGCCUCAGCCUCCCAAAUCACUGGGAUUACAGGCCUGCACCGCUAUUCCUGGCAAAUUCUUAAGAGCAAAGUAGAUAGAAAGAUGCCACUAACAAAUGGAAGAACACUGAAUAAUCAAGAUUCUUCUCUUGAUAAAGGAAACAAAUUCAAGAUGGAAGGUCAAGAAUCAAAAUGAAACUGUCCAUACUGAUUACAUAGUAUUAAUUAUGAAAAGGGCUAGAUUCAAAUUUGAGCUUUAUUACUAAAUUUUUUAAACUACAGUUGGCUCAUUUUUAAUGGGGAAUAAUAAGAUCUAUUUCAGGUAGUCUUUGUGACAUGUAAUUGAGAUAAAAAUUAAUGUACAAUUUUUUGCAAUAUUAAUUAAUGUGAGAUUUUUCUCUUUCUGAACUUCCCAAGGUCGUUUGUGUACCCUUUCCUUGGGGAUUAUUUAUAAGGAGAAAAGCAAUUGUUGAAAGACAAAAAGGUGGGGGCUGGGUUGUGGCUCAGUGGUAAAGCGCUGGCCUCGAAAGUGCGAGGCUCUGGGUUCGAUCCUCGGCAUCACAUAAACAUAAAUAAAUAAAAUAAAGAUGUUGUGUUCAACUACAGAUAAAAAAAUAAAUAAAAUAUUUUUAAAAAGACAAAAAGGUUUUCUGUGUUUUCCAAAGCUUCAACUUAUCCAGGAGAUUGUCUUGGGGGAGUGGAGAGGAUAGGAAGGUAAGUGGGAAUCCUUUCAGGGAAAGAAACAUGAAUAGAGAGUUAAGUGGAUGUACAUCAAGUUUAUAAAAGAGAUAAAGGCAGUUCCAUGAUGGAAACUACUGUUCUUCUGGUGGUUGGGUUUCCACAGGUGAGAGGUACAUAGGGGAAAUUGAAUGCUAAUACUGCUAUCAGCCCUGGUAAAUGUAACUGCCCAAAAGGAGGUGGUAUGGCAAAUGAGUAUUUCCGAGGGACUAAAGAGUUUGGGUAAUUAAUAUCUCUGUGGUGGCCCAUGUGAACCAAAACCCAGAGAGAGUUCUCCAAUUAUGUUUCUCUUGAUGGACCUAUGGGACCUUUUAUAUAACUCAUUGGAUGGGAAAGUAUCUUUGUCUAUUUUUCCUUGAAAUCACAGGUUAAGAGAAGAACUUGGAUGCAGGUAAUUUAUUUGGGAAAUAAUCCCAGAGAUCAAGAGUUUGGGAAAGGAAAUUAGGAGAAGUUAAUAGAAGGUGUAUUAUUGAGUUGGUUACUGUCAUGGACUCAAAUCAAAACUGUCCAUCAAAGGAAAUAGGAGAAAAUUAUUUAUUUACCUACUUCUACCUGCUAAGAGUUGGGUUAUUAACACCUGUAGUUUGCAUAUAUGUUAAAUGCUGAGUAGGCACCUAUGGAUAAUCACAGCAAAUCAUCGGAGAAUGCUGAGGUAGGAAGUGAGAGAAAGAAGGCAGAGUUUGAAGUGAGGUGCUGUCAGUGCAAAGAGGGUAGAACUCUGAAAGGACAUUUUGCAUGACUGGAAUCAGAUUUGAGGCUUAGAGGAUGUGCAGUUGGGUUCCAGGUAUGAUAACAGCAAGAGAGGCUCAAUAAUGACUAACCAUUAAGAGGCAUAAAAACUUUAAAAAAUUAUUUUCCUCCUAAUUAAAAAAGUCAUACAACCAUUUCUGGAAAAAAACUAAUUUUAUUUGAUUAAUUGCAAAUGGAAUUUUCUGGAUGUAUCUUUACUUGAAGUCUAAGAUUUAUUUUCACUGCUGCAACAUGAUGCCUAACAGGCAUAUUAAAACUAGGUUAUUUGUCUGUUGUUAAACAAAGUUAGUUGCCUUCCUCUUCACGCAUCAAUAUACAUGUACAUGCAGGCACACAUAUUUAUACACACCCCUAAGGAAUAAGAGGAAAAGUUCUUAGUAAUGUGAUUCCAUUGUGAGUUUGUACUUGCGUAAUGUUAGCAUUUGGCUCCAAAUCUCCAAGAAACUGACCAAGGAUCUUUCCCUCCAACCAAAAUUGCUGGUUUAGAGUUUGACCAUUACCUCAUUCAUUAUUCUGCAGAAAAUCAUUAUAAGGAAUAUUAUUCCAUUCAAAGCACAGCUUCUCAAACUUUAAUGUGUAUAUAAAUCACUCAAAUGAUAAUUAUCUUACUUCUCUGCUUCUUUGAGUUUCCCUUUACCACUUAUCUUCUAACAUACUACAUAUAUAACUUGUUCAUGUUUAUUGUUUGUCUCACCCACUAUAAUGUAAGCAUCAUGAAGGCAUGGAUUCUUGUUUAUUUGUAUGCCUAGCUCAUAUUAAAACUCAAAGAGUAAGUGAAUAGUGAAAAUAAUUCCUCAAUGAAUUGCAUUUUAAAACACAUCAAGCAUUCUGAAGAGUGCCUGUGGAAUAUCAAAAUAAAAUAGCACUGGGUACUCUUGGAUUCUGAAAACAUGGCCAGAUUAGAUAUUCUUGAAUUUGACCUCUUCUGGCUUUCAGUGAAUUUAAACAGGUUUGUUGAAUGAUUAGUUCAUGAUAUAGUAAUGAAUAAUUCCCAAAUACCUAUAAUUUAAGAGGACAUUUAUUUCUUAAUCAUGCUACAUGUCCACUGUGGGUCAGCAGCAGGUCUAUGCCCACUCUGGUUACUCAGGAUCCCAGACCGACAAAAUAAUUACAAUAUUGAAUAUUGUCAGUCAAAGGGAAAGAGAACUCUGGAAGAUGUGACACCAACAAUUAAAUGCUUAGGCUAUAAGAGAUUCAUGUCACUCUUGCUGACCCAAUCAUUUGGCCCCACCCACUUAUAAGAGGGCCAGGGAAGCUCAAUCCUUCCGUGUGCCCAGUGUAUGGCAGAGACUAAAAUACUUGGUAAGUCCUUUCUAUUGCCAUUUCCUCACAAUCUGCAAUGUUAACUGUCCAGUUAGUUUAUUAUUCCAUAAUUCCCCUCUCCUGACUGGCAACAGAAUCUUUACAGUGCCCUCUAGUGGUACUUAGAGCUACCGCAUUAGUUCUCUAGAGAACUGAAUUCUGAAACUGCUGGAACUGAGCUUAACCCCGCUGGAAUGAAUUAACAGCAUCGGAUAGUCCAGUUAGCCCAACUUUGUAAGCCUAAUAAAGGUAUGCUGGCUAAACCCUAAUUCUUCAAUACCACUUUCUCAGGUACACUGUGGUAUAUCUUUUCUUCCUGACAAGACUAUCCAAAUUUCAAGUAUUUAAGAUACAAAAUCCAACAUUUUUUCACUGUAUAAAUGGUUUUUAUUGCACAGAAACUCUGUCUUCAAUAAACUUUCUCUUCUUUUAAAGUAUAUAAAUAUCAUGAUGAAGCCAAAACGUUAUGUAAUUCCUGAAGUCUAUCUGCAAACUCAACUGGAAUAAUGAUUUUUUUUUAAAUUACUAGAAUGAGAGGAUUUGUUUCUGAGGGAAGCAUAAUUUCACGUUUCUGGUCUCUUAUUAUUGCUUUCUAACUGGAAUCUAUGAACCCUUGGCUACAACAGUAUUUUCAUAUAACUAGUUUCCUUUAUAAUGGUAUGUAUUUUGUUUUAUACAUUUGAAAUCAUAAACCGGAAGAGGGGUCCAAAACUUCAACAGUCUGCAAAGGAGUUACUGGCAUGUUAAAAUCUAUAUAUAAAGCAAGUUCUACCAGUAUGAGGAAACAUUUAAAAAUCUAACACAUGGUGGUGCUAUUGCUUUAAGAGUAAGGAAGAGUAAGGCAAACUAGUUGAAUAAGAAUAUAAAUUUCUUCAGAGAAGCUUGAGGAACCCUAGUGGUGAUGUGGUCACAGAAAGUUACAGUGGUUUUAAAUCUUUAGAAAUUUUAUGAAUUCUUAGCAUAUAAAAUACAAGUUCAUUAACUAAGAUAGUUUGGUCAAAUACAUAAAAUAUAAAUAAAUAUGGAUUUUACCAAAACAAUAUGUAACCCCAAAACAGUAAGUGUUUGAGGACUUAUUAGCCAAUCAAUUCCUUAAACAUUUAUUGUACACGAGAUUAUGGAUUUUCUUUAAUACACAGAUGGCUCAUGCACUUAAGUGCAUACUUCACAUGCACCAAAUUCCAGCCUGGUAUAAACAUGAUGAUUAACAUGGCAAGUUCAAAAGUGAAAGAACAACUCCUGAAUAGGAACUGAUUAUCAAUGAUGGAAAUUGCACAAAGAACCAAGGAACCAACAUAAUAUAGAGCUGGUUAUACUGGCUAAAAUAACAUUUACUUACAGAUGAAAUGAUUUACUUAUAAGAAGGGGGAGAAAGUGGUAGUGGGUAGUGGUAGAGAUCAAAUCAGAUGACCAUAUGAUAAUUGUUAAAGCAGAGAAUGAGCAAAUGGGAAAUCCUUAAAUAAUCUCUGUAUUUUUGUAUAUAUUUGAAACUCUUCAUUAAAAAAUAAAAUUAGCAUAUACAUAAAAUAACAGUGCUAAAGGGUUGAAUUUUUGGUGAUCAGUCAGGUGUGUGAGAAUACACACCAACCAGAGGAAGGUAUAAUACUGAGUGAAUCCCCCAAUUAGAUUUGUGUUGUCUUCCCCCCUCCCCCGCCCCAUAAGGAAAAGAUUUUGCAACAUUGUUCUGUAAGAUCUAAAAAAUAGUUUUUUAAAGAAAAUUUCCUGACCUCUUAUUUGGGGGAUGGAUGGGAGUAUUGUCAAAGAAUCAGGUAUUUGGAAAGACAAGAGACUCUAGCAUUUUUAGGCAUAAGGAACUGAACAAAAGCUGCUAUUUUCUCUCUUUGUAAAUUCUUAAUGACUUUAAAGGAGAAAAGUUAACUUAUUUUUAUUAACUAUGGUUCACUUAAGAUAUAUGUUUAAAUAAAUCUGUUUCAUGUCCAUUGACAAAAGAAUAUUUUCCCACAUUGUUAUAAGUGCAUACCUGUGGGAUUUAAUAUUUUUGAAAAGCUUAAUGAAAAUGCUUUUUUUAAAAAAAAAUCCAUUAAUGCCUCCAUUUAUGCUCUAAUCACAAGAGGAAAAAAACUUGAAAUUGAUCUUUUUUAGCAUUUAGAAAACCUCUAUUUUUUUAGGAUAACAUAAAGGAAAGCAUUUCUAUUUUUAGUUUUACAAAGCCAAGUAGGAAUCACAAUAUUCUCUGUCAAGACAAAUGUAGUACUCUAUUCUCCUGAAUAAAAUAAAAAAUUAUUAAUGGUAAUGCAACGCAUUUUUCUUCAAACUAAAAAAGACCUAUAACCCAAUUAAUAAUGCAGUUGUUCAAGUUAUCUCAUUGAUAAACUGAAUAUUUUUUCUCCCACAUCCUGUCUACGAUUAAGGUUUGGCUAAGAGAUUAAAUCUAGAAGAAGGAGGAUAUGACUCAGAGGAAAUGGAAAGCCUGAAUUUAUCCUUCUGUACCAAGAGGAUUGUGGCAGAGAAGAGAGAAGGCAGAUUGAGGAGCAAUGAAGGCCAUGAAUCCCCUCCCUCAGCUUUGGCCAAAAUGGGAACACCCAUAUCUGAGGACUCUUCCUCAUUCCAUGUUUGAGGCUACAAAAGGAGGUUAUCCACUGACCUGGUAGCAGCUUCAGCAAGGAAAUCUGUGGUACAGGCUCAUUGCAAAGAGUAGGGGUCUGAGUUCAACUUUCCUGAGUUGUCCUUGGUUUCUAGAUGGAUAAGAUGGAAGGUUCCUGCAUUUCCUUAAAAAUGGCUUGAGGAGGUAGUGAGUUUACAUACUAUGCAUGAAGCUGGAAUCAAAAGCAGGUACAGGAAACGGGAAUUUAGCUCAGUAGAGUGAGUGGACACUGAGGGGAGCUAUCCUAGUAAGCAUGAGUUCAAAAGAAGGUCAAAGCAGGACUAAUUACUGCCUAUCAUAGGGCCAAAUCAACUAAAACAGCUGAAAUCAGUAAAUUCCUGAAGUUUCAACAGAAACAUGAGGGAUUUUUCCUCCUCAUGGGCUUCCUCAACUCAUGAGACAAUCAUUAAGAAGUAGCACAAAUGUGUGUUUGUUUCUUCUGUCCCUUCCCUCAUCUUGCUACUUAGUAUGCUGAUAACAAAGAGGUCAAAUCUACAGAGUGGAGCAAAAAGAUAGAAUCUGGUUUCUGUAUUAUGUCAUUGUGUACCAUACUACCUUUGGAUCUCUGAUAUGAGCUUUACUUUGGAAAGAAUGAUUUUCUAUGCUUAAUAAUUAUUGUUUUGUUGUUGAUGACUGCAGUUGAGCCUAAUCCUAACAAAUUAAUAACACUUAUAAUAGGUGGAGUUUCCCAAGAAGCAGACUGAAAUGGAGAGUGGCAUGCAGAAGUAUAUUGGAGAUACUUUUGGAAUCCAAAGUUGUGGAAGGAAGGAUACAGGAUUGGGCAGAGGGAGAAGAUGAGCUGUGAUGUAGUCACAAUAAGGCCUCUCAGAUGACCCCAAGAAGAAAACUGAUGCUGGCAUGGCCAUUGAUAGUUGCCCAGAUUAUCCACAUUCAAUAUGGGCAGCCUCCAGGGAAGGAAGUGUGAUUGUGGUUGAUGUGCAUAUCUAUAGUCAAAGCCAAAGAGGGAGGACAGCUAGGUCUGCCAACCAUUUCACAGGAUCAGAAUAAAUGAUUUCACAGCAACUCUAACUUCCUUCAAAGACUGACAAUUGUGAAUCCUUACAAAAUCCUGGAGUCCUGUGGAGGGCUCAGCUGUCUUGACAAGGAAACAAGAGUCAGACGGUUUAAUGAGACCAACCCUCUCAUCUUCCAGAUAUGUAGCACUGUGUGGUGCAGUCCUGUUAAGCCACUGGUUUCCCAUGUCUACCAGUUCCUGAUACAGAACAUUUUUUACAAUUUUUUCUUCACCUUGAUAUUAUUUCAUCUUGUAAUGUAUAUUCUCCAGUAGUGGUCACACAAUAGAAAUGCAAAUUAAAACUAUACUGAGAUUUCAUCUCAAUCAGUAUGGCAAUGAUCAAGAAUAUAAACAACAAUAAAUAUUGGUGAGGAUAUGGGGGAAAGGGUACACUCAUACAUUGCUUGUGAGGCUGCAAAUUGGUGCAACCACUAUGUAAAGCAGUAUGGAGAUUCCUCAAAAAACUAGAAAUGGAACCACCCUUUGACCCAGUUAUACCACUCCUAGCUAUAUACUCAAGGGAGUUAAAAUCAGCGUACUAUAGUGAUGCAGCCAUAUCAAUGUUUAUAGCAGCUCAACUCAUAAUAGCUAAGCUAUGGAACCAAUCUAGGUGCCCUUCAACAGACAAAUGGAUAAAGAAAAUGUGGUAUAUAUACACAAUGAAAUAUAUAAAAAAGAAUGACUUUAUGCUUUUUCCUGGUAAAUGGGUGGUUCUGGAGACUAUCAUGCUAAGUGAAAUAAGCCAACCCACCAAAAGCCAAAGGUCAAAUGUUCUCUUUUUAUGUGGAUGCUAACACACAAGGGGCGGGGAGGGGUUGGCAGGAGAGGAAGAAUAGAAAUUCAGUAGAUUAGAUAAAGGGAAAUGAAGAGAAGGGAGGAGGUGUAAGAAUAGGGAAGAUAGUAGAAUGAGUCAGACAUAACUUUCCUAUGUUUAUAUAUGAAUACACCACCAGUGGAACUCCACAUCAUGUAUAAUCACAAGAAUGGGAUCCUAAUUAGAAUAAGUCAUAUCCAUGUACGUAUAAUAUGUCAAAAUACACUUUACUGUCUUGUGUAUCUAAAAAGAACAAAUAAAGAAAUUUAAAAAAUCAAACAGAAUCUCUCAUUUUAGUAAUUUCUACAUUAUGUGCACCACCUUCUCAAUAUAGAAAAUGAGAAAACUUACAUAGAUUCUUUUAAAGAAAAUAUAAACUUGUGUCAUAUAUUCCACAGUCAGGUAAGACUCAGAUUCUUCUAACUGCAGUGUAAGGAAAUGGCCACAGGUAGCAGGACUGUUCUUCAUAUGCAGAAAAGGGACUUCUGGCAUGCUAUCCUAAACAUCAUCAGUGCUAAAGGGGAGAGGAAGUGAGGGGAAAGGGAAAAAUAAUACAAGGGGGACAAAUGAAUGUCAGUAGAGGGGGCAGAGAGAGAAGAGGGGAGGGGAGGGGAGGGGAGGGGGGAUAGUAGAGGAUAGGAAAGGCAGCAGAACACAACAGACACUAGUAUGGCAAUAUGUAAUUCAAUGGAUGUGUAACUGAUGUGAUUCUGCAAUCUGUAUAUGGGGUAAAAAUGGGAGCUCAUAACCCACUUGAAUCAAAGUGUGAAAUAUGAUAUAUCAAGAACUAUGUAAUGUUUUGAACAACCAACAAUAAAAAAUUAAAAAAAAAUAAAAAUAAAGGGGAGUGGUAGUGAUAUGCCUCCAACACCCCUGCCUCCAACCAAAGUGUGUCCUAACCAUCUUUGGCUUUGGAGUCUCGGAGUCUGACCUCUCUGAUCCUCCAAGAGACUCUCUGAGCUAACAAUUUUCCUUUAACAAAUCUCUUUACUUCUUUAUUUUUAGUGUCUUUUGGUUAACCUAGCUAGAGAGGAUUCUAUUAUAGCCAGUUAAUAUCCCCAAAUAAAAUAUCCCUAAUAGGCAAAUGCAGUCAGCAAAGGCUCAUAUAAAUCAAAUCCCAUCUUACAUAUAUUAAUAAUUUUCUGGUAUCUUCACUUUACCUGACUUCUGCUUUAACUCUGUAGCCUCAAAUUUGCAUCUUAGAGCCAGGUGCAGUGGCACAUGCCUUUAAUCCCAGCGGCUUGGGAGGCUGAGGCAGGAGGAUUGUGAGUUCAAAGCCAGCCUCAGCAACAGCAAGGUGCUUAGCAACUAGUGAGACCCUUUCCUCUAAAUAAAAUACAAAAUAGGGCUGGGUAUGUGGCUCAAUGGUUGAGUGCCCCUGAGUUCAAUCCCUGGUACCAAAAAAAAAAAAAAAAAUUCAUCUUAGAUAUUACAUUAACUUUCCCUUUCCAUAGGGAAACAAAGACUUAUGACAUAAUUUAAUGGCCCACAUUGUAGUGGUUUCUAGCUGGAAUCUAGAAGAAGUAGGGUGUUACUAAAGGGUUGAAUUUUUGGUGAUCAGAGUCAGGUGUGUGAGAAUAUACACCAAACCAUGGAAUUAAUGGAAAAAUCAAUGCAGAAGAGGUUGUAGGUUGUAUUUUAGGGUACCCACAGAAUAUGCCUCAGCUUUACAACAAAGUUUCAUAAUAUGUGUAAUAAGAAUUGUAAUGCAAAAAAAAACAAGUACAUGUAUAAAGACAUGAAUUGGCAUGAAUAUACUUUAUACAAAGAUAUGAAAAAUUGUGCUCUAUAUGUGUAAUAAGAAUUGUAAUACAUUCUGCUGUUGUGUAUUUAAAAAAAUAAAAUCAAUAAAAAAUUUUUAAAAAGAG